This 285-nucleotide ribosomal RNA is filed under the name uncultured bacterium. RNAcentral describes it as "partial 16S ribosomal RNA". It matches the Rfam family "Bacterial small subunit ribosomal RNA", at positions 29 to 339 of the family's 1533-position model. The record is from RNAcentral.
AGCGAACGCUGGCGGCAGGCUUAACACAUGCAAGUCGAACGGCCCUUUCGGGGGCGAGUGGCGGACGGGUGAGUAACACGUGGGAACGUGCCCUUAGGUUCGGAACAACACAGGGAAACUUGUGCUAAUACCGGAUGUGCCCUUUUGGGGGAAAGAUUUAUCGUCCUUUGGAGCGGCCCGCGUCUGAUUAGCUAGUUGGUGGGUAAAGGCCUACCAAGGCUACGAUCAGUAGCUGGUCUGAGAGGAUGGCCAGCCACACUGGGACUGAGACACGGCCCAGACUCC